GCAUUUCUGAAGAUCACAGAAUCACUUCUUUUUUUCAACAUGUCAGAGAACUGGAUUUUGUUUUCAAAUUAUGGUUUAAAUAGGAAUCUAGUAUUUCAUGGAAGAAAGACUUCUACAGAUUUCUUCUUUUUUUUCGGGGGGGGGGGCGGGAAUGUCAUUACACAAAUUAUUUCUCAUUUUGCAUUGUGUGGUAGAGAAUCAUGUUGUCAAAUGGUAAAAGUAGCUGAUUUAAAACUGGAGAACACUGUUCACAUUUCUCGAGUAUAUUUCUGUUGGCACUUUUGUAUUUUUGGUUACUAAAGAGUUUCCUCCUUUAGAAAUACAAUCCCAGAUUGCUAACAGAGCCAGUCUGGUGUUUCUGAGAAGAGAAGGGCUUUUCCUUUGAUGUGAUCUCUGAGUAGUUUCACACACUUAAACACCUGGAAAUCAAAACAUCUUAAUUGACUGAACACUUUUCCUGCAUUUUCUGUAAUUACUGCCUCCUUGGAAAACAGAGAUUUUUAUCAACUAAUCUGAGAAAAAGUUAUAAAAUGUCAGAUGCCAUGAAGCCUAUAUUCAAGGACUUCCAAGGGAGUCCAGAAGAUCAAAUUGCCAGGACAAGGUUUCUACUUGCUGGUCAUGCCAUGAGGCUCAGGACAAGGCUGACGUUUUUGUAGAAGCUCUAACCAGUGUGAUGAAUCAGGCUGGAUCAAGAUAUUUGCAGAAGGAACUAAGCUCAUAGUAACUCCCCCGGAUAAAAGCCCUGAUGAAGACACUUCCCCCAAGCCCACGAUUUUUCUUCCUUCACCUGCGGAAAGAACACUCCAUAAGACUGGAACAUAUCUUUGUCUUCUUGAAGAUUUUUUCCCUGAUGUUAUCAAGGUAGAUUGGAAAGAGAAAAAUGGCAAAACAAUUCUGAAAUCCCAGCAGGGAAACACCAUGAAGACCAAGGACACGUACAUGAAAUACACCUGGCUGACUGUGACAGAAAAGUCAAUGGAUAAAGAACACAAAUGUAUUGUCAAACACGAGAAGAAUAAAGGAGGGGUUGAUCAAGAGAUUCUGUUUCCUUCAAUAAACACAGAACUCUCUGCUAUUAAUUCUACAGAAGCUUCGCUGAAAGAUGAAAAUGACCCCCUACAGCUGCAGCUUGUGACCAGCUCUGCCUACUACACCUACGUCAUCCUCCUCGUCAAGAGCGUGGUCUACACCAUCAUCAUCACCUACUGUCUGCUUGGGAGACCAGCACUCUGCCGCAAUGAGAAGAGUUCCUAACACAUGGUGGCCCAAGGCUCCACUUUUCUUUACUGGCUACUGUCACUAGCGGUGUCUGCUGAGGCUCUAGCGGGGCUUUCUUUCUGGGUUUGGGUUAUUUCAGUUCACAUGUCUUUUUCUAUGUGUCAUCAUUGCAGAACAGGCUUACAAUCCGCCGGGCAAACAGGAAAUGUCACUCUGCACCAAGAACAGACUCUGCCAUGAGUCAGGGGCGGGGCCGGGGGCACCCACGGGGGCUUCAGCACCGCUCUCUCCUUCACGCCCACCAGCCCGUCAGCCACCCCGCACCCUCGCCUCUGAGUACCGCUGGUGUGCAGCUUCUGUAGCGGCCCCUGGGGCUCUGUAUCCAGAUAACUGCCUGGAGGCCUUUUAUUUUACAUACAUGGACGCCUUCAUCCUUGCUGCCUGAACUUUGUGCUAUUUUUCAUAAUAGGUACAAUAAAAACAAUCAAAAGCCU
This is a non-coding RNA of Leopardus geoffroyi (Geoffroy's cat), 1712 nucleotides long. The record is from the annotation of a RefSeq genome assembly. Lineage: Eukaryota; Metazoa; Chordata; Mammalia; Carnivora; Felidae.